ACGGGGGGGGCAAGCGUUGUUCGGAAUUAUUGGGCGUAAAGGGAGCGUAGGCGGGCUAUCAAGUCUGGGGUGAAAUCCCACGGCUCAACCGUGGAACUGCCUCAGAUACUGACGGCCUCGAGGGAGAUAGGGGCAUGCGGAACUGUAGGUGGAGCGGUGAAAUGCGUUGAUAUCUACAGGAACUCCGGUGGCGAAAGCGGCGUGCUGGAUCUCUUCUGACGCUGAGGCUCGAAAGCUAGGGGAGCAAACGGGA
This 253-nucleotide ribosomal RNA is filed under the name uncultured prokaryote. RNAcentral's name for it is "partial 16S ribosomal RNA". It matches the Rfam family "Bacterial small subunit ribosomal RNA", at positions 525 to 777 of the family's 1533-position model. The record is from RNAcentral.